CCAGAAUGCUCCAACAAGCUUUACAUAUGUAGAACUUUAAAACUCAAAUCAACCAGUCCGUAUUCUGUCCAACCGGUCAACACUUUUCCUUGCACGUUCCAGUUGGUGGUCAACGCUUUUCCUGGAUUUCUCAUGGCAGUCAACACUCCUCCUAGACCUCUCCAUUUGAUCAAAUGAGAUCCUCAGCUUCUCCAGUUUCUCAGCAGCACUGGCCUGGCUCUUAAGCUUCUCCAACUUCUCUGCAUAGUUCGAUGAUUGGUUCUUCUUCA
This 269-nucleotide long non-coding RNA is filed under the name Linum usitatissimum (flax). Its description in RNAcentral is "long non-coding RNA (LUSI_LNC000793)". The record is from RNAcentral. Lineage: Eukaryota; Viridiplantae; Streptophyta; Magnoliopsida; Malpighiales; Linaceae.